Molecule: RNA transcript, 2505 nt
Organism: Pyrus x bretschneideri (Chinese white pear)
Lineage: Eukaryota; Viridiplantae; Streptophyta; Magnoliopsida; Rosales; Rosaceae
Gene name: pentatricopeptide repeat-containing protein At5g66520
Exons: 3
Source: RefSeq, a predicted model, not a curated record
AAGUUUUAUAAUAAAAAUACACAAAAACCCAUCAACCACCACGCCUCUGCACCCACCCAACCCAGUGAGCCGCCCACCACCCAGUGGCCGGCAAACCCUCCCUCCUCGACUCCGGCAAAAGCUCAUCCUUUGAACCUUCUGCCUCUUCCUCUCACCUUUUCUUAUCUACCCAGCGAAAGCAAACCCAACACAAACCCACAACAUCUCCAUGGCAAAGCUGAGAAAACCGAAUUGAUUUGUGCCGCCGCCGCCACCGCCGCCUUCAGAGACGACUAUCGCUCGCCAACAGAAGCUCAGAUUCCCUAAUUCCUGUGGUAUCAAUCAGUGGCGGAUCUUGGAUAUGAUGAUGUUUGAGUGUCACACAAAUAAGCACUUUCCCACAAAGUCUGAUAAAUAAAAAAGGGGCUUAAAAUGGGAGCUGCUGCUUUGUCAGCUUCAAAGUGUGCUCCAGAUGGGCAGCAAAGUCGUUUUAAAACCAGUAACUUGUCCUCCAUAUCUUCUCCUACUACAAAGAUGUUCAAGCUUGGACGAACUUAAGAAAAUCCAUGCCCAUGCAGUCACUACUGGUCUUGCUCGUUUUGCCUACACUGCCAGCAAGCUCUUAGCCUUCUCUGCAUUAUCAGAACAUGGUAAUAUGCACUAUGCCGAGACACUGUUACACCAAAUUCCAAGACCCAAUGUAUUUGAUUACAAUUCCAUGAUAAUGGGUUUCUUGAAGAGCUCAGAAUCUGAAAAGGGUCUCUCCAUUUACACCAGAAUGAGAAGGAUAGGCACAGAGCCAAACGCUCGUACUUUCACCUUUGUAGUUAAAGCAUGUCUUGAGGUAUCUUUGCUUGGUCAGGUACAUGGUCAAAUAACGAAGUUUGGGCAUGGGUGUGAUGUUUAUGUUAUUAGCUCACUUAUUAGGGCCUCAUGUCGAUGUGAAGCUGUGGAAUUUGCUCGUAGAGUGUUUGAGGAAAGUUUGGAUAAGAAUGUGGUUUGUUGGACUAGUCUUAUUAGUGGAUAUUGUAGUAAUGGGCUGGUUCAUGAAGCUCGUGAUCUGUUUGAUGCAAUGCCGGAUAUAAAUGAUGUUUCUUAUAGUGCAAUGGUUUCUGGGUAUGUUGGGAAUGCUUGUUUCAAUGAAGCAAUUGAUUUGUUUCGUCAAUUGAAAAGCCAUACACAAGUGAGGCUCAAUGAGUCUCUUUUGGUUAGCACUCUUAAUGCUUGUGCGUCAGUGGGUGCCUUUGAAGAAGGGAAGUGGAUUCAUUCGUUUUUGGAAGAAAAUGGUUUUGAGUAUGGACUUGAGCUUGGUACUGCACUAGUAGAUUUUUAUGCAAAAUGUGGAUGUAUUAAAGACGCACAAGACGUGUUUAGCAGGAUGCCUCAUAAAGAUGUAACUACUUGGAGUGCUAUGAUCAUGGGAUUUGCCAUCAAUGGUGAGAAUGAUAUGGGGCUUGAGCUUUUUGCAGAAAUGGAAAAGAAAGGACCUAAACCAAAUGCAGUGACAUUUGUUGGAGUACUCACUGCAUGUAAUCACAAAAUUCUGGUAAAUGAAGCAUGGCGGUUGAUAGGACGCAUGAGUAAAGUUUAUGGCAUUGCUCUGGGGAUUGAGCACUAUGGCUGCAUGGUUGAUCUCUUGGCCCGUGCUGGGAAACUGAAUGAAGCAGAGAUAUUGAUAAGAAGUAUGGCAAUGAAAGCGGACGGUGCUAUUUGGGGGUCUUUGUUUAAUGGAUGUCUGAUACAUGACCAUGUUGACUUAGGGGCGAGGGUGGGGAAGCUUUUGAUUGAAUUAGAGCCUCAACAUAGUGGUAGGUAUGUUCUUCUGGCCAACAUGUAUGCCAAAAUGGGCAACUGGGAGGAUGUGACGAGGCUAAGGAAAAUGAUGAGAGAUAGGGAAGUAGGUACAAUUUCAGCUUGGAGCUUCAUUGAGACUGAUGGUAUUGUCCAUAAAUUCAUGGCAGACGAUAAGUCUCAUUCCCAUUCGAGAAAGAUAAACACAAGUUUAAACCAACUCAGCAGGGCACUUGAAAGUUUUUCCAUUGCUAGUGACGCAUCGUUACUUUAAAGAAACCAUUAUCUUGGAAAUGGAAGGACCAAUCCGCAGGCAAGUCGAUCCUGUCUUUUCAAAGACGCAUCUAGCUACAAUCUUGACGUUGUAUUUAGCUCAGAGACCUGCCUCCUUUGAUUUCAACUUGCGUUCGCAGCAAACAAGGGUUGUUGAAAUUCCUGUGUUCCCAUUCACCUAUUUUAAAGUUUUCUCCACAUCCAUUGAAUGAAGGGCAGUUGCAGAAACGAGUCAUACAUCUUCCUAAUAUUUAAUUCCCACGGUUCCUCUGAUGCCUGCAAAACUGGCUGUGAGAGACUUUGUCACCAUGCCAAGUGGAUUUUGAUUGGUCGUGAGAUGGUGGAAAAAGCAGGAUGCUGAUGUGGCUUAUAAAACUCUAAAACAUCUUGUACCCACCGUUUUUUCAAUACCACUCUCACUCUCACUCUUUCUCUCUCUCUCUCUCUCUCUCAACAAACCCA